Molecule: ribosomal RNA, 393 nt
Filed under: uncultured organism
Description: bacterial SSU rRNA
Rfam family: Bacterial small subunit ribosomal RNA
Source: RNAcentral
CAGAGGGCGCGAGCGUUGUCCGGAAUCACUGGGCGUAAAGGGCGCGUAGGUGGCCACCAUAAGGCCGCGGUGAAAGUUCGGGGCUCAACCCCGGAUCGGCCGCGGCGACUGUGGGGCUUGGGUACUGUAGAGGCAGGUGGAAUUCCGGGUGUAGCGGUGGAAUGCGUAGAGAUCCGGAAGAACACCAGUGGCGAAGGCGGCCUGCUGGGCAGUGGGACCGAAAGGUCCCUUCAACCGACACUGAGGCGCGACAGCGUGGGGAGCAAACAGGAUUAGAUACCCUGGUAGUCCACGCCGUAAACGAUGGGCACUAGGUGCUCCGGGGGAGCGACCCUUGGAGUACCGGCGCUAACGCAUGAAGUGCCCCGCCUGGGGAGUACGGCCGCAAGGCUG